Molecule: non-coding RNA, 28 nt
Filed under: Bombyx mori (domestic silkworm)
Lineage: Eukaryota; Metazoa; Arthropoda; Insecta; Lepidoptera; Bombycidae
Source: RNAcentral
UAAAGGCUGAUGAUGAUGAUGAUGAUGA